GGCGAGUGANCGGCAACAGCUCAAAUUUGAAAGCUAGCCUUCGGGUUCGCAUUGUAAUUUGUAGAGGAUGAUUUGGGGAAGCCGCCUGUCUAAGUUCCUUGGAACAGGACGUCAUAGAGGGUGAGAAUCCCGUAUGUGACAGGAAAUGGCACCCUAUGUAAAUCUCCUUCGACGAGUCGAGUUGUUUGGGAAUGCAGCUCUAAAUGGGAGGUAAAUUUCUUCUAAAGCUAAAUAUUGGCGAGAGACCGAUAGCGCACAAGUAGAGUGAUCGAAAGAUGAAAAGCACUUUGGAAAGAGAGUUAAAAAGCACGUGAAAUUGUUGAAAGGGAAGCGCUUGCAAUCAGACUUGUUUAAACUGUUCGGCCGGUCUUCUGACCGGUUUACUCAGUUUGGACAGGCCAGCAUCAGUUUCGGCGGCCGGAUAAAGGCUCUGGGAAUGUGGCCUCCACUUCGGUGGAGGUGUUAUAGCCCAGGGUGUAAUACGGCCAGCCGGGACUGAGGUCCGCGCUUCGGCUAGGAUGCUGGCGUAAUGGUUGUAAGCGACCCGUCUUGAANNAC
RNAcentral lists this ribosomal RNA (558 nucleotides) under Aureobasidium pullulans. RNAcentral's name for it is "eukaryotic LSU rRNA". It matches the Rfam family "Eukaryotic large subunit ribosomal RNA", at positions 88 to 662 of the family's 3401-position model. The record is from RNAcentral. Lineage: Eukaryota; Fungi; Ascomycota; Dothideomycetes; Dothideales; Saccotheciaceae.